Oncorhynchus gorbuscha (pink salmon) is the source of this 1187-nucleotide long non-coding RNA. RefSeq lists it as uncharacterized. The record is from RefSeq and is a predicted model, not a curated record. The transcript has 3 exons. NCBI's taxonomy places the organism in Eukaryota, Metazoa, Chordata, Actinopteri, Salmoniformes, Salmonidae.
UAGAGACGCAUUGCAAAAUCUUGCCUGCUCGCUCUAUAUGGAAUGAAGCAGGAUUAAUUCUGCCACUACCCUGCCCGGAAAAAUCGACCGCAUUGUUUUUGCAGAACGAGUGGACAAAGAAGCAAGCCAUGUAUGAAAACUAAUUGCUCGCGUGGGUAAGCAUAUAUUGGCUAUCAAGAGAAAUACACGCGUUAAACUAUGCGUGGGUGGUGUUCCUUCAAACGACAAGGGAAGUUAACGGCCAACAUUAUCAAGGAGAGCAGGAUGUUUGGCAACCUUGAUUUGAUUAUCAUAAAAUACAAUAAAUAGUGGUUAUCUAUUCUAGGCUGUCAUUGUAGUCGUCGACCUUCACAAACAUCUCAGACUUUUAAAGGCAGAAUAUCAGAAACGGUGUGGCUGAAUGUAACACCAAUCCAAAUGCGUCUGUUUCAAUCGCGUGUCCGUUCAAAAACACCAGUCUGACAACCCAUUGCUUCAAAGGAUCCUUAACUGCAUGUCUUUCUACCUUCAUCAUUCAUAAUGCCAAAAUUGGUACAUGCAUAUUGCACUAUAUGAAUAUACCUCUAAUGCAGCCCAACGUGUCUUAUUCAAAGCGGCAAGGCUCACUUGACAGGCUACUCAUUUGACAGGCUACACUUUCCUGGGACGAUAGCUGGAUUUCGGAUUUGGUUUUUCGUUUGCAUAUCUUUUUCAGUCUCACUUGGAUUGUAUUGGGAUUAAGGUGGGGUUUUAACCCGAUGCAGUUAUCAGGGAUAUAUCUUUCCCGUGACAUCUGCCUCGGUCACUGGAUUUUUGAUAAUUAUGGUUUAAGAAAGGACUUCGCCUAACAAUUUGUCGACCAAUUUCUGAAGUUAAAGUCAACCCGUUGUUGGUUAUACUUUUCUCGUCAAUUUCACUCCUCUUCGACUAAAAAUGCUUCAGUAAGACAAUGUUUGAACAGUGGAAAUAACGCCCAUGUGCCUACCCAUAAACAUCCGCGGCGUAUCCUAUUAAUAACACCCGUAAAGCCUGCUUUGAAGUCAUCAUUGAGAGAGGCAAUUGAGAAGACUACAAAUACUGGCCUCUAGGUGUUUCUCUCUAAUGCCAGUGGGCGUCGUCCUACUCCCAGAGCUGUGACUGACUGCCAGAGGGACGGGAUGCCUAUACCCAUGUGAUAUCUGCCAUGGAGACCAGAGCUUGAUAUCUGG